RNAcentral lists this ribosomal RNA (253 nucleotides) under uncultured bacterium. Its description in RNAcentral is "partial 16S ribosomal RNA". It matches the Rfam family "Bacterial small subunit ribosomal RNA", at positions 524 to 776 of the family's 1533-position model. The record is from RNAcentral.
UACGAAGGUCCCAAGCGUUAUCCGGAUUUAUUGGGUUUAAAGGGUGCGUAGGCGGUCUAUUAAGUCAGUGGUGAAAGCCCCAAGCUCAACUUGGGAACUGCCAUUGAUACUGAUGGACUUGAGUACAUUUGAGGUGGGCGGAAUGUGUCAUGUAGCGGUGAAAUGCUUAGAUAUGACAUAGAACACCAAUUGCGAAGGCAGCUUACUACACAGUUAUUGACGCUGAGGCACGAAAGCGUGGGGAUCAAACAGG